RNAcentral lists this ribosomal RNA (435 nucleotides) under uncultured Alphaproteobacteria bacterium. RNAcentral describes it as "bacterial SSU rRNA". It matches the Rfam family "Bacterial small subunit ribosomal RNA", at positions 9 to 490 of the family's 1533-position model. Lineage: Bacteria; Pseudomonadati; Pseudomonadota; Alphaproteobacteria. The record is from RNAcentral.
GAGUUUGAUCGUGGCUCAGAACGAACGCUGGCGGCAGGCCUAACACAUGCAAGUCGAACGAACCAGCAAUGGUGAGUGGCGCACGGGUGCGUAACGCGUGGGAAUCUACCCUUGACUACGGGACAACGUCGGGAAACUGACGCUAAUACCGUAUAAUGUCUCCGGACCAAAGAUUUAUCGGUCAAGGAUGAGCCCGCGUUAGAUUAGGUAGUUGGUGGGGUAAUGGCCUACCAAGCCGACGAUCUAUAGCUGGUCUGAGAGGAUGAUCAGCCACACUGGUACUGAGACACGGACCAGACUCCUACGGGAGGCAGCAGUGAGGAAUAUUGGACAAUGGAGGCAACUCUGAUCCAGCCAUGCCGCGUGAGUGAAGAAGGCCUUCGGGUUGUAAAGCUCUUUCAAUUGUGAAGAUAAUGACGGUAGCAAUAGAAGAGG